Molecule: ribosomal RNA, 499 nt
Filed under: uncultured bacterium
Lineage: Bacteria
Description: partial 16S ribosomal RNA
Rfam family: Bacterial small subunit ribosomal RNA
Source: RNAcentral
AUUGAACGCUGGCGGAAUGCUUUACACAUGCAAGUCGAACGGCAGCACGGACUUCGGUCUGGUGGCGAGUGGCGAACGGGUGAGUAAUGUAUCGGAACGUGCCCAGUCGUGAGGGAUAACGUAGUGAAAAUUACGCUAAUACCGCAUACGAUCUAUGAAUGAAAGCGGGGGAUCGCAAGACCUCGCGCGAUUGGAGCGGCCGAUAUCAGAUUAGGUAGUUGGUGGGGUAAAGGCCCACCAAGCCAACGAUCUGUAGCUGGUCUGAGAGGACGACCAGCCACACUGGAUCUGAGACACGGUCCAGACUCCUACGGGAGGCAGCAGUGGGGAAUUUUGGACAAUGGGCAAAGCCUGAUCCAGCCAUUCCGCGUGCAGGAUGAAGGCCCUCGGGUUGUAAACUGCUUUUGUACAGAACGAAAAGGUUUCUACUAAUACUAGGAGCUCAUGACGGUACUGUAAGAAUAAGCACCGGCUAACUACGUGCCAGCAGCCGCGGUAA